Molecule: ribosomal RNA, 460 nt
Filed under: uncultured bacterium
Lineage: Bacteria
Description: partial 16S ribosomal RNA
Rfam family: Bacterial small subunit ribosomal RNA
Source: RNAcentral
CCUACGGGUGGCAGCAGUGAGGAAUAUUGGUCAAUGGACGGAAGUCUGAACCAGCCAUGCCGCGUGCAGGAAGACGGCUCUAUGAGUUGUAAACUGCUUUUGUACAAGGGUAAACCUGAAUACGUGUAUUCAGCUGAAAGUACUGUACGAAUAAGGAUCGGCUAACUCCGUGCCAGCAGCCGCGGUAAUACGGAGGAUCCAAGCGUUAUCCGGAUUUAUUGGGUUUAAAGGGUGCGUAGGCGGAUUGAUAAGUUAGAGGUGAAAUGUUCGAGCUUAACUCGGGAACUGCCUCUAAUACUGUUGGUCUAGAGAGUAGAUGCGGUAGGCGGAAUGUAUGGUGUAGCGGUGAAAUGCUUAGAGAUCAUACAGAACACCGAUUGCGAAGGCAGCUUACCAAUCUAUAUCUGACGUUGAGGCACGAAAGCGUGGGGAGCAAACAGGAUUAGAUACCCCGGUAGUC